AGGUGUGGUCCACCGGAGAAGAAGACCGAAGUUAAGGCUUCAGUGAUGCGUUGGGACUCUCUCAACCUUCUGAUUCAUUUGAAAUAUUUUAAUCUUGACCGUUCCUUGUGAUUACCAUCCCUAUGACACGUUGACUGAGGUGUAUGGUAUGAAGCACACGCUUGGCCAUCAGAUUUUCCACCUAAAUUAAUGAGGGAGAUCUGAUGACCCUUGUUUUUUUUGUAUUUUC
RNAcentral lists this long non-coding RNA (229 nucleotides) under Lathyrus oleraceus (garden pea). Its description in RNAcentral is "Pisum sativum (pea) long non-coding RNA (PSAT_LNC025121)". Lineage: Eukaryota; Viridiplantae; Streptophyta; Magnoliopsida; Fabales; Fabaceae. The record is from RNAcentral.